RNAcentral lists this unclassified non-coding RNA (380 nucleotides) under uncultured bacterium. Its description in RNAcentral is "contains 16S-23S intergenic spacer region". The record is from RNAcentral.
UCCGAGUUGACCCCGGCAGUCUCCUGAGAGUGCCCGGCAUUACCCGGUAGCAACACAGGACAAGGGUUGCGCUCGUUGCGGGACUUAACCCAACACCUCACGGCACGAGCUGACGACAGCCAUGCAGCACCUGAGCCGGCAGUCCCCGAAGGGAAGAUCCUAUUUCUAGGACGGUCCGCCGUUGUCUAGCCCAGGUAAGGUUCUUCGCGUUGCAUCGAAUUAAACAACACGCUCCACCGCUUGUGCGGGUCCCCGUCAAUUCCUUUGAGUUUUAACCUUGCGGCCGUAGUUCCCAGGCGGGCAACUUAAAGCGUUAGCUGCGGCACGGAGGGGGUCGAUACCCCCCACACCUAGUUGCCACCGUUUAGGGCGUGGACUAC